AGUUAAUGUUCCAAUGAAGUGUUCUCUCUUGUACUAUCUAGAUACUUAAAAUAUUUAAUUUUAUAAUUGCAUAUUUAGCUGUAUUUCUUAAUCUAAUUGCCUAUUACAUGUUUGUCCUUUCAUGAGCUUGUAUCAUAUAAGAUUUUUAUUUCAUAUAUUUGUGAAAGAUGCCUGAAUAUUUGUUUUCCAUCUUGAGCAUAUCUUAGUCUUUUAGAUGACCUCUUUUCCAGUAUUUAUGAGAUGAUAGUUUUCUUCUAUUCUUGGUUUAUGCUUUUAGAAACCUUAUAAUGUACUGAUGACAGUGGCAGAUGUAGCUUGUAAAAUGGGGGGGUCAGUUGACCUUGUUUUUUAUUAUGUGUGUGCAUGAAUCAACCGAAUAAUGAAUUCAAUUAUUGAACCCACUUUUUGAUAAAAGUUAAAACUAGUUGAAAUGAAAAAAUAUGUUGUGUAUUCACAUGUUUAUUUACUUCUAAAACUAGUACUUAUUCUACCUGUUGGCAACUAUGGAACGAACUUUUUAACACAAAAUGCACAAUUGCCUAUAAGAUCAAUUGAUGAAUGACUGUUUAGUUAUUUAUAUAAAGAGAGAUGUAUUUGAUAGCAUUAAUAAUGAUUUAAUUCUUAAUUGUAUUCAAGGCCUUAGACCUUGUCGAUUCCGAUAGUAAAAUAUGAGUAUUAUGUUUUUGAUAUUUUUUAGUAAUAAUUUAUUAUUUAUUUUUUAUAUGUUGACCCAAGAAAAGAAUUUUCUAGCUUUGCCAAUGAUUGAUGAAGCCAUGAAGGGCAUUCUGUGCACACAGUUUCCUAGAAUCUGAUGUGUGAUGUUGUAGUUUGUUUAGUCAAUUCAUGUUCUUUAUGGAAAAAAUAUCAAAAAUUCUUUUUUUUUUUUGGCACUAAUUUUUGUGAGUUACCCAUGGUAAUGUCUGUUAAAUUCAUCGCAAGUGCUUUUUUUAUUCUUAGAUUUUUUGUGCUAAUACACUUACAUCUUCCAUUAGAUGCGUCAUUUUGCAGUCCUGAACAUUUGAAAAUAAAUUACUAUAGAUAGCUUUCAAUCAUGCCAAAGGAUGCAGACAUGUGCCAAAUGUGUCAAUAAUAUGACUGGCUUAUUGGCUAUGGGUAUGAAAUUUUUCCAUGGAAUAAAUUUUGUUGGACAACUGAUGUGCAUGAUGGUAUAUAGUAUACUUCUAGCAUGAAUGCAGUUAGCCAUUUAUCUCAAUUUUGAUGCACAGUGAUGUAUCUAGUUUUUGUUCAAGUCAUGUUUAUUGAAUGGGAUAUUAUUCUUGAAUGCCUGUGGUGAAAUUAAAGCUCAACCAUUUCUAUGCCUAGUCCUCCUGCAUUCUUGAGUUUGAUGGUGCUUCAAAAGGAAAUCCUGGCCCAGCUGGUGCUGGAGCUGUUUUGCAUGCUGAAGAUGGAAGCAUGGUCUGUCGACUUCGUGAGGGAUUGGGCACUGCAACAAAUAAUGUUGCUGAAUAUCGAGCUGUCAUUUUAGGACUGAAGCAUGCACUUAGGAAAGGGUUCAAACAUAUUCGUGUCCGAGGAGACUCAAAUCUUGUCUGCAUGCAGAUUCAGGGUCUAUGGAAAAUCAAAAACCAGAAUCUGGCUGGCUUGUGUAAAGAGGCUAAUGAGCUCAAGAAUAAAUUUACAUCAUUUCAUAUUGAACAUGUUCUCAGGGAGUUGAACUCUGAAGCUGAUACGCAAGCAAACCUGGCUGUUAAUCUCAAGGAUGGGCAAAUUGAAGAGGAUUGCACCUGAAAGUAACUUGAAUCCUAGGAGCCAGCUGCAACAUAUAUUGCUAAAUUGUAGAUAGUAAUAUCAGUGCUGUAGAUGUUGAAACUUAUGGUUUGGAAGAGAAUCUUUUUGGAAGAGAAUCUUUUGAUUACUCAGUAACUGAAAAUGAAGUAUAUUAGAUCAGCUAAACUGCGCUGAGCAUGGAAGAAGACAUUCUGGUGAUGAUUUAUGACAGUAGACAUAAUCACUUGUCUGCAUGCAGGGUUAUGUAUCGAAUGAUGAAACUAUAAAUACCAUAUCAGAUGGAACGUUAAGUGACAACUCUUUUGUGAAGUUUUGGUUAGUUUUAUGGUGACUUCAGAUUUGACAUAUAUAUAUUACCAGCAAUGAGCUUUAGCACCUGAUCUUGUUGAGUUUUGGGUAUUUAGUGUCCAUUCUUCUAUUGGGUUCUAUGCAUCUUUCAAUUUAUAUAGUUGAG
RNAcentral lists this unclassified non-coding RNA (2203 nucleotides) under Hevea brasiliensis (rubber tree). Lineage: Eukaryota; Viridiplantae; Streptophyta; Magnoliopsida; Malpighiales; Euphorbiaceae. The record is from RNAcentral.